AAUUGGAGGGCAAGUCUGGUGCCAGCAGCCGCGGUAAUUCCAGCUCCAAUAGCGUAUAUUAAAGUUGUUGCAGUUAAAAAGCUCGUAGUUGAAUUUCGGGACUGACAGGUUGGUCGCGCCUUCGGUGUGUACUGGCCUAGUCGGUUUCUCCCUUCUGACGAACCACGAUGUCAUUAAUUUGGUGUCGUGGGGAAUCAGGACUGUUACUUUGAAAAAAUUAGAGUGUUUAAAGCAGGCUUAGGCUUGAAUACAUUAGCAUGGAAUAAUGAAAUAGGACGUCUGACCCUAUUUUGUUGGUUUCUAGGAUCGACGUAAUGAUUAAUAGGGAUAGUUGGGGGCAUUAGUAUUCAAUUGUCAGAGGUGAAAUUCUUGGAUUUAUUGAAGACUAACUACUGCGAAAGCAUUUGCCAAGGAUGUUUUCAUUAAUCAAGAACGAAAGUUAGGGGAUCGAAGACGAUCAGAUACCGUCGUAGUCUUAACCAUAAACUAUGCCGACUAGGGAUCGGAUGAUGUUAAUUUUUUAAUGACUCAUUCGGCGCCUUACGGGAAACCAAAGUGU
This 559-nucleotide ribosomal RNA is filed under the name uncultured Glomus. RNAcentral's name for it is "SSU rRNA". It matches the Rfam family "Eukaryotic small subunit ribosomal RNA", at positions 546 to 1106 of the family's 1831-position model. Lineage: Eukaryota; Fungi; Glomeromycota; Glomeromycetes; Glomerales; Glomeraceae. The record is from RNAcentral.